RNAcentral lists this ribosomal RNA (400 nucleotides) under uncultured bacterium. Its description in RNAcentral is "bacterial SSU rRNA". It matches the Rfam family "Bacterial small subunit ribosomal RNA", at positions 362 to 776 of the family's 1533-position model. The record is from RNAcentral.
UAUUGGGCAAUGGGCGAAAGCCUGACCCAGCGACGCCGCGUGAGGGAAGAAGGUCUUCGGAUUGUAAACCUCUUUCAGCAGGGAAGCAGAAAGUGACGGUACCUGCAGAAGAAGUCACGGCUAACUACGUGCCAGCAGCCGCGGUAAUACGUAGGUGGCGAGCGUUAUCAGGAAUUACUGGGUGUAAAGGGUGUGUAGGCGGGAGUGCAAGUCAGACGUGAAAACUAUGGGCUCAACCCAUAACGUGCGUUUGAAACUGUUCUUCUUGAGAGUGGGAGAGGUAAACGGAAUUCCUGGUGUAGUAGUGAAAUGCGUAGAUAUCAGGAGGAACACCGGUGGCGAAGGCGGUUUACUGGACCACAACUGACGCUGAGACACGAAAGCGUGGGGAGCAAACAGG